Molecule: long non-coding RNA, 1428 nt
Filed under: Numida meleagris (helmeted guineafowl)
Lineage: Eukaryota; Metazoa; Chordata; Aves; Galliformes; Numididae
Description: lncRNA (ENSNMEG00000016716.1)
Source: RNAcentral
GACAAAACCAGUUCUAACUGUUAUCUGCUGGUGGCACCAUUACACCAGAAGAGUUUAAACAGGGAGAUUUGAACAGAAGAAAUGACACAUCAUACCUUUCAAUCUGAUUUAAUAGAGAACUUGUUUUUUUCUAUUUCUUUAGAGCUUUGUCAGACUUCUCAGCUUGUUGCCCAUCCUUCCCAACACCUGAUAGUAGGAAACAUGUGACAGCAGCACAGUUUAGACUGAAGGUGCCAGCGUGGCCCAACCAGUCAAUAAGGAAAGGAAGAACAAACACUCAUCAAAAUGAAUAUUGAUAUUUUUACUUGAAAUGGUGGUGAUGCUGCUGGAACCUGCUGAAAAGCAAUGCCUUGAGACUGGCUGGUCUGCUCCUUUACACCCUGAGUAGUACCAGGGCAGACCAUUGCCCACACUGGCGAGCUCUGGGGAGGAGCAGGACAGGCAGAGCCACAGCACUCUAUUACAGAAGCCCCAUGACCAAGACAGAUGCCAGUAUCUGGAACCUUGGCUAAAUGAAUUAAAAGCGGACCUCUGUUCAUCUCUCAUGUACUGAUUGCUCCCUCACACAACCUUUUUAAUGGUUCUGGAUAACUGUGCUGAGAGAGUGCGUUCAUGCAAGGUUCCCAUUAAAACUCACUGGAAGUUGCCAUCUGUGGGACUGCAUAGAAUGGGGCUGAGCUGGGCAGGGGUUGAGUCCUGGCUGGCACUGAGCCUGGGAGGAAUGCUCCUUGGGUUUGUGCGGGCAUCCAGCUGAUCGCUGUCAUCUGUCACUUGUGUACCCAUGUUUGUGAUAGAUAGGCCCUAUGAAAACGAAGUUAAUUCAGUGUUUCAGGUGCAGAGUGUUAUUUUAAUUAAAAAUUGUAUUAUAAUAGUUACACAAAAGGAUUCAAAUAUCCUGCAGCUUGAUGUGAUGAAAACUAGAAGAUAUAGGUGUUGUUUAUGAGCCAUCAGAGAUUCCCACUGCCACAGUGCUUUAGUGAAAUGAAAAGAAGAGAAAAGGAGAAGCAGAGCCAUGUGCUAAUCCUUUCCUUUGUUGCUUAAGGGAAAUUUCAGUAUAAAGUACCAAUUUCCAUAUCAUUUGAAUAGCGGUUGCAGCCCAUUGGUGUUUAAAGUAAAAUGUGCAACUACUGUAAUCAGCAAAACAGAUGCAAAUGCCUUGUCUGUCUUUAAAUGCAAUCCCCUCCUUGCUGUCUCAAUUAGGUUUAGUGUGGAAAACUCAAUCAGAUAAUUAAAAACAGGAGCUAUUCUUCCACUUCUCAUAGCAAUGGCUGCUCCCAAGGCAGCUCCGGGUGCAGGAGCCCUCCCCUCCCAGGGACAGCAGUGCUCUUUUCAUCCUGCCUGUGCCCAGUAGCUCCCACAGCAAGUGUCUGCACAUCUUUAUAAAAAAGGCAACAACAAAAAUAAAUGCCAUUUAGCAGUUUGAUCCCA